Molecule: ribosomal RNA, 253 nt
Filed under: uncultured bacterium
Lineage: Bacteria
Description: partial 16S ribosomal RNA
Rfam family: Bacterial small subunit ribosomal RNA
Source: RNAcentral
UACGGAGGAUCCAAGCGUUAUCCGGAAUCAUUGGGUUUAAAGGGUCCGUAGGCGGUUUAGUAAGUCAGUGGUGAAAGCCCAUCGCUCAACGGUGGAACGGCCAUUGAUACUGCUAGACUUGAAUUAUUAGGAAGUAACUAGAAUAUGUAGUGUAGCGGUGAAAUGCUUAGAGAUUACAUGGAAUACCAAGUGCGAAGGCAGGUUACUACUAAUGGAUUGACGCUGAUGGACGAAAGCGUGGGUAGCGAACAGG